AGGACGAACGCUGGCGGCGUGCUUAACACAUGCAAGUGGAGCGACGAACCGGGGCUUGCCCCGGGGCAGAGCCGCGAACGGGUGAGUAACACGUGGGUUACCUGCCCCAAUGACCGGGACAACCCGAGGAAACUCGGGCUAAUACCGGAUGUAGUCUUCGGACUAAAGGAAGCUUCGGCCUCCGCAUUGGGGAUGGGCCCGCGGCGCAUUAGCUAGUUGGUGGGGUAACGGCCUACCAAGGCGACGAUGCGUAGCUGGUCUGAGAGGACGAUCAGCCACACUGGGACUGAGACACGGCCCAGACUCCUACGGGAGCAGCAGUGGGGAAUCUUGCGCAAUGCGCGAAAGCGUAGACG
This 356-nucleotide ribosomal RNA is filed under the name uncultured soil bacterium. Its description in RNAcentral is "bacterial SSU rRNA". It matches the Rfam family "Bacterial small subunit ribosomal RNA", at positions 26 to 388 of the family's 1533-position model. The record is from RNAcentral.